RNAcentral lists this ribosomal RNA (1089 nucleotides) under Paracaprella pusilla. Its description in RNAcentral is "partial large subunit ribosomal RNA". It matches the Rfam family "Eukaryotic large subunit ribosomal RNA", at positions 100 to 900 of the family's 3401-position model. The record is from RNAcentral. Lineage: Eukaryota; Metazoa; Arthropoda; Malacostraca; Amphipoda; Caprellidae.
GGAAUGAGCCCAGCGCAGAACGUUCCGGGGCACUCGCCCUGAGAAUGAAUGUUGCGUUAAGGAUAUUGGCAUACACCCAUGGCAGUUACACUUUGCUAAGUCAGCCUCGAAUGGUUCUCGUGAAGCCGGUAACACGGUGAGACUCCAGGGAGGGUGUUAGACCCGUGUGAAGGUGCAAUCUGCUUGGGCAAGCCGAUAUCCCGAGAGUCGCGUUGUUUGAACAUGCAGCGCUAAGCAGGUCGUAGACUCGAUCUAAGGCUAAAUAUGUCCACAGAACCGAUAGUUAACAAGUACCGUGAGGGAAAGUUGAAAAGCACUCCGUAACGGAGAGUCAAAAGACCGUGAAACCACUCAGAGUAUAAGCCAAUGGUGUCUGGAAGGUCCUGUGCUUACAUCUUGGUGUCAAGGACUCAUGCGAACCUCAGCACUUGCGGGAGCAAUCUCCGUUGCUUUGGUAAGCUUGUCCGCUGAAGCACUCCGUUGACCCACCUGGCUCGUUGUGAGGUGUCCUGAGAGCAAAGCGAAGUGUUAAGAUUGGCUUGGAGUUGGGCGUGGGCGUCUCGAUGCCUUUCGCACUCUCCUUUUCGAGCACUUCUUCAGUUCUAUUCGCACAAAGUGUGGUAGUCUUGGAGUGUGCGCUGCUUGACGCUCUCUGGAACCAUCCUCUGCGACGAAGCUUCAAUGCCUUAGUGAGCGGCCGUCUUCCUCCUCGGGAGUCGGUACAUUGGCGCGGCUUGCACACUGUCGGUGCUCCGCUGUUCAACUCUGGCGCAAGGUGUUACGUCCGAUACCAUUGGUCACGUCUCGAAACACGGGCCAAGGAGUAUAGCGUGUGUGCAAGUCUAAGGGUUCCACAAAACCUGGAGGCGUAGUGAAAGCGAGUUAUGGUGUCUCACUGGACUGAUGGAGAAGGCAGUGAUGCGUGAUCCCGCAAGUCCCGGACUCGUCGUCUGCACUGCUUCGGUUGUGUUAGCGCGAGCACCGCAGAGCACAUACGCUAUGACCCGAAAGAUAGUGAACUAUGCUUGGCGAGGGUGAAGCCCCAGGAAACUGGGGUGGAGGCCCGUAGCCGUUGUGACGUGCAAAUCC